This 5732-nucleotide long non-coding RNA is filed under the name Lactuca sativa (garden lettuce). RNAcentral's name for it is "long non-coding RNA (LSAT_LNC003376)". The record is from RNAcentral. Lineage: Eukaryota; Viridiplantae; Streptophyta; Magnoliopsida; Asterales; Asteraceae.
GUUUAGGGUACGACAAAAUACAAUGAAUUUGAAGCCAACAUCGGGAAGGGUCAUUGAAACUUAAUCAUAAGCAAGUAAGUUCUCAUGUUCUCGUUCAGCGUACGCUAGAUUAAAAUAAAUUCUAGGAGAAAUUGAGAUGAUAAGAACAUCAUCCUCGUCAUUACAGCCAGAUAGAUCGAUUGAGAGGGAAGUAAAAGGUAGGAGAUGGCGAUUUCCAUCUACUAACACCUCAUAGAUUGAUGUUUAAGCUAACUUUAUUCAAAUAGUGCGUGGAGGAAUCUACUGUUUAAUUUUAAGGUAUGAGUUAUUCCCAUUUGUAUUGAACUUAGGUUUGGAGCGUGUAGUGGAAAAAAAAAUCCGUUUCGUGUUUAUUUUAGGGACAGAGUUUUGUUUUUAACCAUUUGUAGAUAAUUUAUGUGGUUGCAAACUCCGAUCUAUCACCCACUUGAUAGAUUUGGAGUGUUUGGGUGAAAAACAUAAUUAUGACCUAUGUUUCCAAUUGGGUGUUACGUGUGUUGGAUUGCUACCCCAGAUGGCGAGAGCAAGCGAACGAUUUAGAUGCUCAAAGAUACGCUUCCGACUUAUGUAUUUGAUUUUGGAGGGAGUUGGAAUACUUACCUUCCACUGGCUGAGUUCUCCUACAAAAGCAGUUAUCAUGCCAGUACUCACCGGCCAUCGUUUAAGAUGUUAUAUGGAUGGAGGUGCAAUACCCGGUUUGCAUGGGGGAGGUCGGGCAUCGGGUCAUGGGUGUACUGAGGUGGUACUCAAGACCAUUGAAAUGAUUCAGUAGGUGCACGACAUGUUGCGAGUCCCCUGAAGCCGAUUGGAGAGUUACGCAGAUCGGGGACGUUCGGACCUCGUGUUUCAUGAGGGGGUUUGGUGCUUUUUAAGAUCUCACCUUGGAAAGGUGUCAUCCGAUUUCAAAAGUCGGGAAGCUGGUAGUAGAUUUAUUAGUCCCUUCAGGGUUUCUUCCCUGGUGGGAAAUGUUGCAUACCGUCUGGAUUUUCCUGAUGAGCUCAGCCGGAUCUACAAAACCUUCCAUAUGUCUCAGCUUCGGAAGUGUGCUGCCGAUUAGCUCAAAGUUGUUCCUUUGGAUUACAUUCAGGUUGAUGAUCGUCUGAAUUAUGUGAAGAGAUCGGUGACGAUCUAGGAUUGGAAGACGAGCACUCUUUGCAACAAAGGAGUAUCACUACACAAGGUCUAGUGGCAUCAUCAGAAGGAUUUCGAAUGGAAGUGGGAGCCUGAGGCGGCGAUGCAAGAGCACUACCCUAAUUUAUUUGCAAAAACAGACUUUGAGGACGAAAUCUAGUUUAAGUGGGGGAGAGUUAUAACAUCUUGACUUCCAAGUAUUUUAAAAUUUUACACUUGAUUUGAGUUUGGUUUUAAAAUUUAGUCCCAAGCGGUAUUUUUAUAAUUUUUGCAUGGGAAUCUCGUACGUUGGGCGUACGUGGAGAGGGUGCAAACCCUAAAUUUUAUGGUUUGGACCCUACUUAAGCAUCAUUAUAGCCCCAUACCCUCAUUUAUCUUCAGCCUCCAUCCCUAUCUCGAAACCCUAAAGUAAGUGAGUGAGUUUUGUAGCGUGAUGAGCCUUUUUAGUGCCAUUCUAGUGCUCUUAGUGGUGAAGGAGGAACCUAGAAGUUGUGGUGUUUCACUCAAGGCUUUGGAUCCUACAACUACUCUGUCUUGUCUUGUUCAUCUUCUGGAGAUAUAAAGCUACCACUUGAUGAAUAUUUCAUUAAGAUGUAGUUUAGUUUAAAGUUAGCACCUUUUUGUACCAAAUCUUGAUUCUUAUGAGUAUGGAGUACUCCAUGAUGUUUGAGUUGUCAUUUCAGAUGUUAUAGGGUGUGUUAAGUCAUAAAAAUAUGAUCUUGGACAUUAGUUCCUUCACAUGCGUGAUCUAGAUUGUCUUAUUGGGUCAAGAGACUAGGGUCUUUUUAGCCAUGAGAAACCAUAAAGUUGGAAACUUUAUGGUUCUGAACACUUGUUAGGGUCUUGAUUUAGUUUUUGGACGUAAGUCUUAAGGAUUUAGCAUUUAAUGGAUUGUGUGGGUGGCAGCCACGAAAGUUGGGAAUAACAACGGGUAGACUGCACGUUCGGGGUCAGCCCUUUGAGAUUUGGUCAAGCAAGUAGUAUUACCCAUUACUAGUAUUUUAAGUUAUUAAAAAUUCUCGUUCGUACUUUUGGAAGUAGGUAGUGAUUUAAGAUUGUAAUGAAGCAUUGGUAGAUUGUCCAUGGUGAUGCAUAAAGAAAAUUUUUGAACAAAUGCUCAUGAGUACUUUAAAUGAAGAUUUUAAGGUAUUGGAUUAACCCACACUUAGAGAUUACUUCAUGGAUUCUAUUACAAGUAAUUCUAAGAUGGUAAUAUCAUAUAUCCUUCAAAUGGAGAUGCUUGGGAUUCUCUCCUACAAUCUUUUUUUGUUUUGGUUUCCCCCAAACAUUGUUCGUAAAUGGCAAUCAUAAAGGGUUUGACUAGAUAUGGCAUAAGCAAUAGGCAAAAUCUUUAUAGUCGAAGUUUGUUUGUUCGCUUUUCCCUCAAAAACUAAAAAUAGAUAUCAUUGUUCCCCUCGAUGAUUUGUUGUUGACAUUAAAAUACAUGGUCGUGCUCAGACUGAAUCGAUGGAUCAAUUAUGCAGUUUUCUUUUGAUUGAUAGAAGUUAGUAUCGGGAAACAAAAUCUUGAACAUUUGAGAUCGAAUAUAUAAAUGUCUCAUUUUCAUAUACAUAUCUUGAAGAAUAAAGGAACAUUUGAUUAGUUAUCUAAGGGAUAUAUCACAAUCAUGUGUUUUGAGUAUGGAAAAUACAUUUGACUAGAUCCUCUCUACUCAUUACUAUUAAAUAUUAGACCAUAUAGUCUUGGUGACUUGUGCAAGUUGAGGUCUUAGAAAAUGGUGCCUAGAUUUACAACACAGUGACAACAAUUAGUACAAGCGGAUUGAUAUGUAAGUUAUUAGUACAUAAUGUUAUAAGAUGCAAGUUUGGGUAUACAGAUAACCGUUAUUACCCUUUGAGGGAUGAAUCACCUGAUAAUAAAAAGAAAAUAUAAAAAGACAAGUUUACUUUUAUGUAAAACCCAUUAAAAAGUUGUUAUAAACAUGUAGUAGUUGUAAUAUAUCUUAAAAACUAUGCAUAAAAUGAAAAUAUAAAAAAAGAAAUUGAAUUAGUAAAAAAAAUCAAUUUCUUGNAAAUCAAUUUCUUAAACAAAUUUCUUAGAAAACCAGUUUCUUAAAAAUGUAAAAACAAACUUGUAGAAACAAGUUGUGGCAUAUUUGUAAACAAAGUUACGGCCAAAGUAAUAUUGAAAAUAAAAACAUUGGCAAUCUUGUAAAGAAAAGGUAUCCUCUAAACAAACAAACCUGCAAUAAUGAGUCAUUGUGACAAAGAAGAAAUAAAACAUUGGCUUUUCUUACUUCUACAAAUAAUAAAAUGUUAACAUGUAACUUUUAUAUAUUUAAAAUAUUUGGCAACCCAUUUAGUUUUGGUAAUAGCCAUUUAUUUUGUUUUGCAACCAUAUGAUUGCAAACAUCGCACACGCACAUAGAGGCUCACACGCACACAGUCAGAUUCAAUUCGGGAUGGAGGGAACAACAAGAAAUAAUGAUAACUGGAUUCUAUAACAAACGACAAACCUUCAAAAUCCUUAAUUCAUAGCUAUCAUUUGUAGUUUAAUACUCAUGGAUUUUAGUAAUUGCUGCUCUAGAAAUGCAUUUAGAAAAUUUCAUUAAACCCAAUCACUUACUAAGAAACACGUUGUGUUAAAGCUAAUAAUAUGCGUGAAGCAUAAAUCAUUGAGAAAGAUUGCUAACCAACUGCAACUGAAUAUGCUAAUGUACAUAAAAGAUCACAUGAUGAAACGUUUACCAGCAAUAGCAAUGUGUUAGAUCUACUAUUUUGGUGUCAAGUAGCCCUUGGAGUUCCCCCAAACACUUCAGUAGGAAAUCAUUAAUAAAGCAUCCCAAUGAAGUGUUCGGAGGAUCUCUGAGGGACACUUGGCUUUUCCUACAUCUGUAUUUGCUUGAAGUUGAUUGCUUUGUUUAGAAAAUAAACGUGCCAGAAUUACUUGGUAUAUAUAGAGGGAGAGGGAGUAGAGGUUAUUUUCUGAUCGAUGAACAUGGAUACAUCAGCAGCAUGAACAUGGUUGCCAUCGUGUCUCUAUUAGGAGAUAUAUUUUCCCAUAAUCCCAAUUUUCACAUAAAGGGAAAUAUAUGAGAGUGACGAGUUAUGCUGAGGACCAGGUGAACAUGGGUAUCAUAUUCUCAUUUGAUCAUCUAUCCCAUAUACAUGACCACAUUCAAUCUCUGACCUACAAUAUAUAACAUAUUAGCAUAAGAUUUGAUAAUGGGAAAGAGAUGUAUAUUGAUUAUUCAUUCAAAACUAGAAUUGAAUCGAAUAUACCAUGACUGCAAUAUCAUGUAAAGAAAUGAUGCAUGCUGAUUUAUAUAUAAGGUUACAGACACGGCAAGAGGCAGGACAUGCAAAAUUCUGCUCUAAUUGAACUUUUUGUGAAAGAUUUCCUAUUGCAGGUCCACUAGUCUGAUUCUCUUCUUACUCUCAUAAGCUCCCUCGAUUAUAACCCCACUAUCAUUUUCAAGUUUCAACCAUUACCCUCCAAUUAUGUUCAAAUGUGUAUAAACUAUAAAAGGCGUUGAAAGAUUCUCACAUCCACAUAAUCACCCUACACCUAUCACCAUAUAUUUGGAGACUGCAUCUCAUUGUGCACCUGCUUGUAAUUUUGUUUUCUUCUGAUUUUCAUUCGUAUGUAUUCUGCCCCCUGUAAUUUACCAGCUAGCUUUCAAUCUUUUUGUUUUUAAAAAUCUGCGGUUCUAGAAAAAAGUUGUAGAGAGAAUGAAGAGCAACUUACCAGGUAAAUAAAGAUCCAGUUGAAAAAAAUUGAUUUAUCAAUCCCCCUCUAUUUUUUUUUUCAAUUGAUAAAUAUAGUUACUGUUGGUGAUAAUGAAGAGCAUUGACGAUGGAGUAGACUUUGAAUGAUAUGGGAAAGGAAGCAGCAACCAUUUGAUCAAGGGGAGGUUUUCCGAUUGCGUUGGAGCAACGAUUUCUGUUUACAUAAGUUGAAUAAAAAUAAACUAGUUAACGAUUUAUUUUAGGUUUAAAACACAAACAGGUAAUAAGCCGAUUUAAAUGAAAGAAAAUUCACAAAAAAUAACGACUAUAAAGAACGAUUAGACAAAGAAUUAAAAACACCGUUUCUUAAAUUUUUUUAUUUAAAAUCAUUUUUUUUAAAUAAUGUGAAACUAUAUUUCAAAAAUAUGGUGCAAAUUUGUAAAAACAAAUCCGAAGCUAAUUCAUAAUUUUUUUUUUAAAUCCGGUGACGAACUCGCUAUAGCCCAUCAGAUGGUUUAUGUGAGGACGAACUCAUGAAGUCAAGGUGGAUAGAUGAUGAGGGUUGGUUUAGGGUACGACAAAAUACAAUGAAUUUGAAGCCAACAUCGGGAAGGGUCAUUGAAACUUAAUCAUCAGCAAGUAAGUUCUCAUGUUCUCGUUCAGCCUACGCUAGAAUAAAAUGAAUUCCAGGAAAAAUUGAGAUGAUAAGAACAUCAUCCUCGUCAUUACAGCCAGAUAGAUCGAUUGAGAGGGAGGUAAAAGGUAGGAGAUGGCGAUUUCCAUCUACUAACACCUCAUAGAUUGAUGUUUAAGCUAACUUUAUUCAAAUAGUGCGUGGAGGAAUCUAAUGUUUAAUUUUAAGGUAUGAGUUAUUCCCAUUUGUAUUGAACUUAG